This 279-nucleotide ribosomal RNA is filed under the name uncultured bacterium. Its description in RNAcentral is "partial 16S ribosomal RNA". It matches the Rfam family "Bacterial small subunit ribosomal RNA", at positions 335 to 603 of the family's 1533-position model. The record is from RNAcentral.
ACUCCUACGGGAGGCAGCAGUGGGAAUAUUGCACAAUGGGGAAGCCAUCGAUGCAGCCAUGCCGCGCUGUGUGAAGAGGCCAAUUCGGGCUUGGUAAGACACUUUCAGUAGGGAGGAAGGUAGUGUAGUUAACACCUGCAUUAUUUGACGUUACCUACAGAAGAAGCACCGGCUAACUCCGUGCCAGCAGCCGCGGUAAUACGGAGGGUGCGAGCGUUAAUCGGAAUUACUGGGCGUAAAGCGCAUGCAGGCGGCCUGUUAAGUCAGAUGUGAAAGCCC